UACAGAGGGUGCAAGCGUUGUUCGGAAUUAUUGGGCGUAAAGCGCGUGUAGGCGGCUUUGCAAGUCGGGUGUGAAAGCCCUCGGCUCAACCGAGAGUGCGCCCGAAACUGCGAGAGCUUGAGUACCGGAGAGGAGUGGCGGAAUUCCCCAAGUAGAGGUAGAAAUUCGUAGAUAUGGGGAAGGAACACCGGUGGCGGAAGGCGGGCUCACUGGCCCCGGUACUGACGCUGAGGUGCGAAGGUCAGGGGAGCAAACGGG
This 258-nucleotide ribosomal RNA is filed under the name uncultured bacterium. Its description in RNAcentral is "partial 16S ribosomal RNA". It matches the Rfam family "Bacterial small subunit ribosomal RNA", at positions 524 to 776 of the family's 1533-position model. The record is from RNAcentral.